UAGGGAAUCUUCGGCAAUGGGGGGAACCCUGACCGAGCAACGCCGCGUGAGUGAAGAAGGUUUUCGGAUCGUAAAGCUCUGUUGUUAAGGAAGAACGAGUGUGAGAAUGGAAAGUUCAUACUGUGACGGUACUUAACCAGAAAGGGACGGCUAACUACGUGCCAGCAGCCGCGGUAAUACGUAGGUCCCGAGCGUUGUCCGGAUUUAUUGGGCGUAAAGCGAGCGCAGGCGGUUAGAUAAGUCUGAAGUUAAAGGCAGUGGCUCAACCAUUGUAGGCUUUGGAAACUGUUUAACUGGAGUGCAGAAGGGGAGAGUGGAAUUCCUUGUGUAGCGGUGAAAUGCGUAGAUAUAUGGAGGAACACCGGUGGCGAAAGCGACUCUCUGGUCUGUAACUGACGCUGAGGCUCGAAAGCGUGGGGAGCGAACAGG
This 429-nucleotide ribosomal RNA is filed under the name Bacteroidota bacterium. RNAcentral describes it as "Bacteroidetes bacterium partial 16S ribosomal RNA". It matches the Rfam family "Bacterial small subunit ribosomal RNA", at positions 355 to 776 of the family's 1533-position model. Lineage: Bacteria; Pseudomonadati; Bacteroidota. The record is from RNAcentral.